This is a long non-coding RNA of Phasianus colchicus (ring-necked pheasant), 1739 nucleotides long. RefSeq lists it as uncharacterized. Lineage: Eukaryota; Metazoa; Chordata; Aves; Galliformes; Phasianidae. The record is from RefSeq and is a predicted model, not a curated record.
GAGGUUAGCAGCCUAGCCUCUACUCCUUUGUUUAAAAAAAUAUAUGCAAAGGAGCAUUUCAGAAGCUGCUGAUACCUUUCAGCAUACAGAAGGAGGCUUGGUAGACAAAGGUAGGUAUUCCUCGUUAACUGAGAACCUAAGAGUUCUUUAACCAGCAUGGCUUUAAGGGGCACUGAGUGACUUCAAGGAACCAUGAAACUCUCAGGCUGGUAGGGGAAGAGCACAGUGGUUUGCAAUUAACCAGCCCAGUCAGAAGCAGCUGGGAAGGGAGGGCUGAGCACCUCCAUAAAUGAGGUGCCCAAAACAAGGGGCUGGAUGGAAGGCAUUAUUGGGGGAGAAAAGAAAGAAAAGAAAAGAAGUGCUUCCAGUUGGAUUAAGCUUUUCUGCCUCUUCAUUUUGGGGUACCUGAGUUCCCUUUCUGCUGUAAGCAACGUGUUUGAGUAGUAGUUGGAUGGAGUAGUAGAUGUAGCAGCACCAUUGUGUUUGAUUUCCUUGGAAGCCCUGUGGUACAGGACAAGAGCUGUCAGGUUGUACAAGCACUGGUGGUCCUAGGAGAGACAGCUUCGUCACCCACCCUUCGAAAGCUAUGCUAAUGUCAUCAUCCUGAAGUGGUGACUUCUACUGUUUGCCUGGACAACACAAUUGGAGCCUUAAGACUCUUAACAGAAAUGGCAGAGACAAGCUGGUGAGGCUAUAGUGUGGCUUAGAGGAGCCUUGAGGAAGAAGAACUACACAAAAGGACAGACAUACUGUGUGCACUUGCAUUUUGACAGUAGGUAGAAAGGUGUGUAUUUAGGUGAGGGGACAGUAGAUGAAAAGGAGAGUUAGAGGUGCAUGAAGCAAGCCACCUCCAUGUUUGGGAAGAAAGGAGCAUGCUGUUAGGUGUCACAGAACUUCAACCUAGGCCUGAAAGAAGCUUGUAAUCUGCUGAGGUCUCAUCACUCAGGUAUGUGUUGGUGCACAAUUGUUGUCUUGUUAUCUCCUGUAGUACUGGGUAAGUUUUGGAACUGUUACGGAGCACUGAGGCUUCCUGAGUAAAUAAGAACCUCUGAAAAGCUCUCUGAUAUCAGAGUGUUGUGUUUUGCUCACACAAAUGAUGUGUGACUAUAGUAUCUACAACACCAAUACCUGACCCUGUGUAGUGCAAUAGAAUGGCAAGUGAAGCACUUACUUCAAUAGUAGCUAGCCUGUAUGUUUGAAAUGGUCCUUGAAGAUUCAGAAGUGUCCUGAACAUGAAAUGGAAAUUGCAGAGUGACUAAGGCUACAUUACAACCUGACUAUGAACCAAAACUGCUGUACAAAGCAUCUAGUCUUAAGUUGCACAGAUGUGCAGGGAUCAUCUUUCCUUUUCCUUUAAGUAUUGCUGCCCUCUGUCUGCUUAAUUCUUCUGCGCUGGUUUUCCCCUUUGAUUUCUCACUUGUGCUGCCUGUAUCAAGAGACUUAUUCAAUGUUUAAACUCCCACCUGCAAGUUUCCUUUUUCUCAGUACUUUGACACAGCUGAUUGAACGUUCCAGAAGAAUCCCUCACUUGGAGAGUGGUGCUUUACUCUCUGCUCCCAAGGUCUAUUUCUAGCACCUGGUAUCCUUUAAAAGCGUCCAUGAAGUCACCACUCAGCUUUUCUAUGAUCAGGCCAGUAGCACUGAGUCUUUUGCUCCCCUCCCUGCUCAUCAUUCAAUACUCUUCCUUCUGCAGAUGCUAGUUGUAAGAUCUGCAGCUUCAUCUCUUGACUACUCUUACU